Molecule: transfer RNA, 73 nt
Filed under: Tenacibaculum sp. L6
Lineage: Bacteria; Pseudomonadati; Bacteroidota; Flavobacteriia; Flavobacteriales; Flavobacteriaceae
Also listed under: 1 other name
Description: tRNA-OTHER
Rfam family: tRNA
About the family: Transfer RNA (tRNA) molecules are approximately 80 nucleotides in length.
Source: RNAcentral
GGGGCAUUAGCUCAGUUGGCUAGAGCGUCCCGAUAAGUCGGGAAGGUUUAGUGUUCGACUCCGAUAUGCUCCA